CGCGGAGCCGUGCCGGCUGCCUCCAUCCCGGGGCGAGCAGGUGUUUCCGCACCUAGGUGCUCAGGGGAGCCUCCCAGCGGGAAUCGGAGGCCCCCAGAGGCCCCACAGCGAGGCCCCCGUUUGUGCUGACUCUUGGGAGACGUUCCCGUCACCCCGGCAGGCGCUGGGCUUCGGUAUGUUCCCCCAGGAACCAGGCAGGCCGGCCUGGCCCUCACUGGGCGAGUCUUGUGCUGUCCUGAGACCGUGAGGGCCUGGUGUCUGGGUGGGAGCCCCAGAGCUGGGCUGCCCCAGCUCUAUGGGUCCUCACUCUUCCUCAGGCGGGUCCAGCUCUCCCGCAUCGACCUUCCCGUCUGUAAAGCAGGGCCAACAACCCGCCCCAGAGAGAGCUACAGUGAGACACGUGGGGGACAGGGGCAGGGGGUGGCCAGAGGUUAGACGUGGUGCUAAAGAGGAGCAGACACAGGUCACAGUAGGAGGUGACAUGGCUGAUGCCAGACCAUGCAGGUGGGGCCCCUUCUGGGCCUGACCUGGGAGGGUGCCCGGCUCCAGGGCAGAAGCCUCGCCUGGCACCAGGGUCUUCAGCUUGCUGUCCACAGGGAGGGUGCCUGGCCCCGGGGUCUUCAGCCUACUGUCCACAGGGACUCUUUUGCACCCUGGCCUGGCCCCACCCCAGGGCCCAUCUCCUCCCCAACCUGAGAGGAGAAGGCCUGGCUUCAAGGCCUCAUCCUGACUGUUCUGGUCACCAGCUUUGUGACCACCAUGAGUCACCUCACCUCUCUCCUCUGGAAAAUGGGAAUAUUUCUUCCUACCCUAUUCACCCCAUGGGAUGGGCCAAGGAUUAGAAAGCUAAUACAGGGUGAAAAAUGCCCCCUGCCUGCCCAGCGCUGCAGGGAGCGCCUUGGGACGCUCAGCCCACAGGUCUGCUGGGCAUGUGACCCACACAAAGGAAGGCGGACACAUCAUGGUUUGUCUGCAGUCUUGCACGGAACGCUUCCCCACGACACUGCGGUCUCUGAGACACCACUGCCCCCCCAGCACUGUCCCUCAGGCUUGGUUCUUCCUGGAGUAGAAAGAUGAGGGGUCAACGCACUGAGGCGCUGAGCUCCUAGGUUGGAGUCACACUGGGUUAGGGUUAACCCUAACUCUCCCUGUAUGCACCAAGCUGAGCGCUGCGUGACCCCAGAGCUCGGUUUUGGCCUUCCAGGGUCACAGCCUCGGAGGCCAUGGGUAGCCAGACAGCCCGCCACAGCUCUGGGGCCCCAAGCCCACAGCAGGGCCCUGCUUGGCUGCAUGGGUUGGGGACAGCGUGGCCUGGCGUCAGUCCCAGCUGUGGGGUGUCAACCCUCGGGCCAGCCCAUCUGCCCUGGACCUGCCGGCCUGGGCCAAAAAUGGAAUCGGACAGUCCUUUUGGGAAGCAGCCCCAGAGGAGAGAAGCCAGGUCAAGGCCAGCCUCUGGGGUGCAGUAAACAGGAAAAUCCAGGGGGCUGGAGGCCCAGCGGGAAGGGAAAGGGCUGGGUCAUAGGGCUUCACAGAAUGUUUGAAAUGGGCAGGAAGUGAUGACUUCUUGGUGUCUACACCCCCAUCCCCGUCUCCAACUGCCGAGUCAGCUCGGAGGUCCACCAGGGCCCCUCAUGGGAAUUUCAGGGAGCCCACAGCGUGGGCCGAGAUUGGUGCCAGCUCAACACCCCAGAUGAAGCCCAGGCCCCCAUCUCGGCCCCCAGGGAUGUGCCGGGGAGCUGCCGGUUCCCGGGCAGCCUGGCCCCAGGGGGCGGCUCAGCACGGAGUCCCGUCUCUGUGCCAGGCAGGGUCCCAGAUUUAUUCUGACGUCUGUGUGUAGCAACAAGCAUAAUGUGUUCAUAUUUUUGACCCAGUGAUUCUGCUUCUGGGAAUUCAACCUGAAGAAAUAAUGCGAAACCCAGAAAACCAGCCGCCCGGAGACUCCUCUGGCUGUGUUAUUUAUAAGGGAUAGAACCCGGAAGCAGCCCAGAUGUGCGUGGAGGCCGGCUGAGAAACCGUCCGCGUCUGUCUAAUUGAAUGAUGUGCAGUUGUUAGAAGUCAGGCCUGUGGAAAGUUCCAACAUCGUGGGAAACGGUUCCUAUGCGAUGGGAGGAGGAGGCGGCGGCAGACGGCGUCUCUGGGCCGCGGGGACGAAGCCUCGAGCACCCAGCGUUCCGGGGGCCCCGGCAUCCGCCCUGGUUCCAGGUGGUAGGAAACCGUGGUUUGGGCUCUUGCCAUGCUCUGCUCUGCUUUGUGGCCCGUGCAGGGGGCGGGGGGGACCUUCUCACAAAACCCUGGACUUGGAGACCCACCCCCCACCCCGGGGCCCCCAGGGGCUGGGACUGCAGGCUCUGUCUCCAGCUCAGCAGCUGCAGGGUGGGAGGCUCUCUGGGGGCUAGUGUGUGCGCCCCUGGUGUGGCCUGGGGUGAAGCCUGUUCUCACAGCCGAGACCUGGCUCUGUGCACUUGGUGUGUGUGGGGGGUGGUCUCUGAGACCCAGGGGAUGCGUGGAGUGAGGGGUCUUCUCCCAGGGAGACUGGCUGGGGGCCGACACCAUCGAACCCUCUACUGGCCGCCUCUGCUCCCGCUCCUGGAGCCUGCUGGGGUCUUAAACAGAACAUGGACCGCAGUCAGGGUCCCUGCCCCAUGAAGGGCCUGGGCUCGGGGCGUGGGGAAGGCCUGGGCCCCCCAGACGUCUGGGAGAGCGUGAGCUCCAGGCCCGGGUGUUGGCAGUGCCUGGCGGGCAGGGAGCCCAGCCAGGCACAGGGCAAAGAGCGCGCAAAGGGAGGAGGCGGGUAAGUGGUCAGCUGUCCGACCGGGGAAUGGUGCCACCCCACCCAAGCCACACGGUGACCCUGGGGUGAGACGCAGGCCUCCUCGUGGGAGGGCAGGGGCAACAAGGCCCUGACCCUUGAGGGCUAGUGGGUCCCAGGGAGCAGAGGAACCCGCGGCCCACAUGCCAGGCAGCAGGCCCGGGAGAGCAGCCAGCUGCGGCCACUCUCCUCCUAACCUUCUCGUGUCCAGGUUUCUGCGGCUGGGUCUUCCUCCUGCAGGCGGCAGGCGUAGUAGCCUCAGCGGCAGGGCCUCGGGCAACCAGGGUUAGGUUGGGACUCUGGCCGGACGGCAGUAGCCCGCAUUCAUCCCAGCAGGCAACACUGUUUCUUUCUCUAAUGGGUUAUCUGACCAUCUGGUGAGGAAGGCCGUGCAAAAGUGGAGAACCUGAGUCACGUGGCGGGAGAGAGGCAAGGCAGGAUGGGAUCUGAUGACCCCGGCAGUGGCCGCAGCAUUUCUCCACGGUUCCCAGAACACCCUGGAGUCUGAUGCAGGAUUUGACCUUCCUGUUUUCCUGGGGAGAGGGUCUGAGCCUUCACCAGGCUCCCCAGGACCCCCGGGGCCACACAGAGGAGUGGGGGGAAGCCUCCCUCGGUCUGCCACCAUCAGGCUGGCACUUGGCCACACACACUCCCCACUCUUUAUGUUUAAAACCUAAUUUCAGAGUGACCCAGGAGCCCAACAGGGAGGUGAGCAGGCUGGGAAAGGCCACGCGGAUGGUGAGCGGUGCCCCCCCUGCCCACAAGGCAGCCUUCUCACUGUCAGGCGUCUCAAGGCUCACAGAGAUGCGGAUCGCUUCCAGACUGAGUGGGGGCGUUGCUCUUCUCUGCCAGGAUCUGGGACCAGGACGGGCCCAGGCUGGCUCCCUGUGGGUGCCUACUUCUCCUUCAUCCCCUCCACACCCGAGAUGAGGAGCCAGCCCAAGACCGAGCGGGGAAGCCCCGGUCUGACUUCAGACCUUCCACCCAACCCCUCCUGGCCUUUGCCCUCAGCCCUCAUGCCAAGCACCCCCCACUUCGUGCCCCUCCCUAAAAGCGCAGCCCGGGGCCUGGUCUCUGGGAGGGAUGCCAGCCCGCCUAACCUUCCCCCAGCCUCAUCGUCUCACCGGGAAAUCAGGGCAGCGCUGCCAUCCUCAGAGACUUCAAGGUGACAUGGGCGGCUGCCACGUGGCCUCCUGGGGACCUCAUGGGGACAGGCUGAGUGCUGCCCUUGGCACAAAUGAAUGAAGGAAAGAAGGAAGGAAGGGGCUGGAGUCCUGGCACGUCCUCAGGCCCAUGUGCUCAGUGAAGAAGGUGAGACAGGAAGGCAGGUGCCACAGGCUCCCGUUGCUGCGAAGAGCCUGCAGGCGGCAAAUCCUUGCAGGUACAGUGACUCCGCCUGGACGGGGCAGGCACGGGGUAUGAGUGAUGCCCGUGGGGUGGGGUCUUCUCCGGGGGCAACAAGGAGGCUCUGGGACUAAAUCGUGGUGACGCUCGCUCACUGCAGAGAAUGCAUGAAAUGCCACUGAAUGGUUCAGUUUAAAGCGACUACGUGUGUGUCGGGAACCCCCAUGUGGCUCAGACAGUAAAGAAUCUGACUGCAACGCGAAAGACCCAGGUUCGAUCCUUGGGUCAGGAAGAUGCCCUGGAGAAGGGAAUGGUUACCCACUCCAGUAUUCUUGCCUGGAGAAUCCCAUGGACAGAAGAGCUGGCGGGCUAUAGUCUAUGGGGUCACAAGGAGUUGGACAGGACUGAGUGACUAAGACACACACUUCUGUGUCAUGUGAGUUUCAGCACUACUGCAGAAGCCUGAAGCGUGGACAGGUCGGGGUGCUCCCUCCAAGUAGCUGACCCCUACUGGCACGACACCAGUCCCAGGGGCAAGGGCUGGCACUGUGCCCCCAGGUGGACAAGAUCCUUGUUUCCAGCCGUCGGCCCAGCCUUCCAGCCCCGACCCCCAGCAAUCCUAUAUAUGCAGAGCACAUCAUGAAAAACGCUGGGCUGGAUGAAGCACAAGCUG
Long non-coding RNA from Bubalus bubalis (water buffalo), 4826 nucleotides. RefSeq lists it as uncharacterized. The record is from RefSeq and is a predicted model, not a curated record. Lineage: Eukaryota; Metazoa; Chordata; Mammalia; Artiodactyla; Bovidae. The transcript has 3 exons.